CUUAGUUUGAUCCUGGCUCNGACCGACCGCUGGCGGCGUGCUUAAUACAUGCAAGUCAACUGAAUUGAGGUAGUAAUAUCUCAAGUAGGGUGGCGCACGGGUGAGUAACACCGUAGGUAAUCUGCCUUUAGGACUGACAUAAUCCCAGCGAAAGCGGGACUAAUAUCAGAUGAUGCAGCGGCUCGACAUCGAGACAGUUGUUAAACCUUCGGGGCGUAAAGAUGAGCAUGCGUCUGAUUAGGUAGUUGGCGGAGUAAAAGCCCACCAAGCCUGCGAUCAGUAGCUGGUCUGAGAGGAAGAUCAGCCACACUGGAACUGAGACACGGUCCAGACUCCUACGGGAGGCAGCAGUAAGGAAUAUUGCUCAAUGGCCGAAAGGCUGAAGCAGCAACGCCGCGUGGAGGAUGAAAUACUUUUGUAUGUAAACUCCUGUAAGAGGGGAAAAACAUCUCAUUAUUUGGGAUUGAUUGUACCCUCAGAGUAAGCACCGGCUAACUACGUGCCAGCAGCCGCGGUAAUACGUAGGGUGCUAGAGUUGUCCGGAUUUACUGGGUGUAAAGGGUGCUCAGGUGGAUUUGUAAGUCAGAGGUGAAAUCCCAAAGCUUAACUUUGGUGCUGCCUUUGAUACUGCAAGUCUAGAGUUUGAGAGAGGGCAAUGGAAUAUCUGGUGUAGCAGUGAAAUGCGUAGAUAUCAGAUAGAACACCAAUGGCGAAGGCAGUUGCCUGGCUCAAAACUGACGCUAAAGCACGAAAGUGUGGGGAGCAAACAGGAUUAGAUACCCUGGUAGUC
RNAcentral lists this ribosomal RNA (790 nucleotides) under uncultured bacterium. Its description in RNAcentral is "bacterial SSU rRNA". It matches the Rfam family "Bacterial small subunit ribosomal RNA", at positions 1 to 795 of the family's 1533-position model. The record is from RNAcentral.